GUCAAUGUUGAGCCGUUGCGAUUUUUUAAAUUCUUUUCGUUCUUGUCUGCAUAUUGAAAAAUGAAUGUUGUUUGAAUGUUGUUGGUUCAUUUGAAGGAACUUCAUAGACUCUGAGUUGGUGUUUGGGAUGGGCGGGUUGCGGGCGCUAAGUGAUCAUCUGUUACAAUCAUUUUGAAGCACCGCCCGCCGCUGAUGAUGAUGAUGACGUGCUUUGUUUCAAUUCACAAAGGCAAUAUGGGUACAAUAUAAAUGGCGUUGGACGAUGUUUUACCUAAUUUAUUUAUCGAAGCUGGCAAAAACUGAUGAGUUAGCUAUCGGCGAGCCAAAAUCGACUUUAGAAUUUUCCAACAAAAGGCAGUUGUGGCCGAAAAAGGCAUUGAAACACUUACUCAUGUCUCAAUGCCGAGAAAAACAUGAGCACGUGCCCAUAUACACAAAGAUUUGGCAAGGAUCUCUAUGAAUAAAACAUUUGUCGAAUUAAA
Dendroctonus ponderosae (mountain pine beetle) is the source of this 482-nucleotide long non-coding RNA. RefSeq lists it as uncharacterized. The record is from RefSeq and is a predicted model, not a curated record. The transcript has 3 exons. Lineage: Eukaryota; Metazoa; Arthropoda; Insecta; Coleoptera; Curculionidae.